RNAcentral lists this ribosomal RNA (301 nucleotides) under uncultured bacterium. RNAcentral's name for it is "partial 16S ribosomal RNA". It matches the Rfam family "Bacterial small subunit ribosomal RNA", at positions 509 to 807 of the family's 1533-position model. The record is from RNAcentral.
CAGCCGCCACGGGAAUACAGAGGGUGCAAGCGUUAAUCGGAAUUACUGGGCGUAAAGCGCGCGUAGGUGGUUUGUUAAGUUGGAUGUGAAAGCCCCGGGCUCAACCUGGGAACUGCAUCCAAAACUGGCAAGCUAGAGUACGGUAGAGGGUGGUGGAAUUUCCUGUGUAGCGGUGAAAUGCGUAGAUAUAGGAAGGAACACCAGUGGCGAAGGCGACCACCUGGACUGAUACUGACACUGAGGUGCGAAAGCGUGGGGAGCAAACAGGAUUAGAUACCCGAGUAGUCCCUGUCUCUUAUAC